CCAUCCCCACAACAUACCUUACACUCAGGGCCGGCUCCUGGCACCAGCCCAGCAAGCAGCUGCUUGGGACAGCCAACGGUGAGGGGCGGCACGUCUGGGUCUUUGGCGGCAAUUCGGCGGCGGGUCCCUCGCUCCCUCUCCAUUUUUGGAUAGAGAAGUAGCACCUAGAGGCUCCAACCAAGAUCUGAUUCCCUUUGUGCCUGGCACAUAGUAAGAGACAGUCCCUACCCUGAAGAUCUUACAAUCUAAAUGGACAAGACAAAGAGUUUGAGAGGAAACAGAACUGAAUUUGCAGGUUACAGGCCAGCCCAAUCUCCUCCUCAACAUUAUGAAGGAUUAAAAUCUGAGGGAACAACUCCACAGCUUCCAUAUCCAUAUGCCAGAACAAAGAAAACUGUAGAAAAGCAACAUGAUGGAAUAUGUGUUGAAAUGAAAUAAUUGUACAGUAAUUCUACC
This is a long non-coding RNA of Mauremys mutica (yellowpond turtle), 456 nucleotides long. RefSeq lists it as uncharacterized. The record is from RefSeq and is a predicted model, not a curated record. The transcript is spliced from 3 exons. NCBI's taxonomy places the organism in Eukaryota, Metazoa, Chordata, Testudines, Geoemydidae.